ACCUUGGUGGCUCAGAUGGUAAAGUGCCAGCUUGCAAUGCAGGAGACCCAGGUUCGAUCCCUGGUUUGGGAA
Molecule: transfer RNA, 72 nt
Filed under: Bos taurus (domestic cattle)
Lineage: Eukaryota; Metazoa; Chordata; Mammalia; Artiodactyla; Bovidae
Rfam family: tRNA
About the family: Transfer RNA (tRNA) molecules are approximately 80 nucleotides in length. Their secondary structure includes four short double-helical elements and three loops (D, anti-codon, and T loops).
Source: Rfam by way of RNAcentral